ACGAAAAAAAAAAUACACCCGAGUGUGCAACAAUUUUCCCAGAAGGGUAAAGGUCGUGAUGCGACAGCCGACAGUGGCAGGGCAACCUACGAGUUCUUAUAAAUAUACCCUCCAAUAAGCUAAGCUUACCAUAUCACAGAAAAUAGAGUUUCCUUCACUUUCUUUGUCAUGGAUCCUUGCAAGUUCCGUCCAUCAAGCUCAAACAAUACCCCCUUCUGGACCACCGAUGCUGGUGCUCCAGUAUGGAACAACAAUUCCUCCAUGACUGUUGGAACCAGAGGUCCAAUCCUUUUGGAGGACUAUCAUAUGAUAGAGAAACUUGCCAACUUUACCAGAGAGAGGAUUCCAGAGCGUGUCGUCCAUGCUAGGGGAAUGAGUGCAAAGGGCUUCUUUGAAGUCACCCACGAUGUCUCUCACCUUACUUGUGCUGAUUUCCUUCGAGCCCCUGGAGUUCAAACCCCUGUCAUCGUCCGUUUCUCCACUGUUAUCCACGAGCGUGGCAGCCCUGAAACACUCAGGGAUCCUCGAGGUUUUGCGACUAAGUUCUACACCAGAGAGGGCAACUUUGAUAUUGUGGGAAACAACUUCCCUGUCUUCUUCAUCCGUGAUGGAAUAAAAUUCCCAGAUGUGAUACACGCUUUUAAGCCCAAUCCCAAGUCUCACAUCCAAGAAUACUGGAGGAUCUUUGACUUCUUAUCACACCAUCCUGAGAGCUUGAGCACCUUCGCCUGGUUCUUCGAUGAUGUUGGAAUUCCCCAAGAUUACAGACACAUGGAAGGUUUCGGUGUUCACACCUUUACUUUCAUCAACAAGGCUGGAAAAGUAACCUACGUGAAAUUUCACUGGAAACCCACUUGCGGGGUCAAGUGUUUGAUGGAUGAUGAGGCACUUAAGAUCGGAGGUGCCAACCACAGCCAUGCUACGCAGGAUUUAUACGACUCCAUUGCCGCUGGCAACUAUCCUGAGUGGAGACUCUUCAUCCAGACAAUGGAUCCAGCUGAUGAAGACAAAUUCGACUUUGAUCCACUUGAUAUGACCAAGAUCUGGCCUGAGGAUAUUUUUCCUCUACAGCAAAUUGGCCGUUUGGUCUUGAACAGGAACAUCGAUAACUGGUUUGCUGAGAAUGAAAUGCUCGCAUUCGACCCUGGUCAUAUUGUUCCUGGCAUUCACUAUUCAAACGACAAGUUGUUUCAGCUCAGAACCUUUGCAUAUGCUGACACUCAGAGGCACCGUCUCGGACCCAACUAUAAGAUGCUCCCUGUUAAUGCUCCCAAGUGUGCUUAUCACAACAAUCAUUACGAUGGUUUCAUGAAUUUCAUGCACAGGGAUGAGGAGGUGGAUUACUUCCCAUCCAGGUAUGAUCCAGUUCGCCAUGCUGAGAGAAGCCCCAUUCCUAACGCUAUCUGUAGUGGAAGGCGUGAAAAGUGCGUCAUUGAAAAGGAGAACAAUUUCAAGCAACCUGGAGAGAGAUAUCGAUCCUGGGCACCUGAUAGACAAGAAAGAUUCCUGUGCAGAUUGGUUAACGCCUUAUCAGAGCCACGUAUCACCUUUGAGAUUCGCAGUAUCUGGGUCUCUUACUGGUCUAAGUGCGACGCGUCUCUGGGUCAAAAGCUGGCUUCUCGUCUCAACGUGAGGCCAAAUAUAUGAAGAUGAGGCUAUGGGUCACAGUGGCAGAGAGAUGUUGAGGAGGAGGAGAAGCAGAAGAUCAAUUGAUUGCUUUUCAAAAGCAGCAGCAAUCAACCCAGUAAGUUUUUCUUUUCAUGAACAACUUUAAUUUAAAUUUGUGUUAUCACAUCAUAGAAUUGAUCAUACUCUAAUUUGAAAUCACAUAGCUGAACUCAUCAAAAUCAAUUUGAAAUCAAACAAAAAAUUAUGAGCAAGUUUAAAAAAUCAAUUAUUGAAUUUAUUCAAAAUUGAUUCUAAAUUGGAACGGUGGACCACGAAUUGAUUUAUUUUAUUUAAUGAACCGGAUAGGAUAGUAUUGCUCCGACCCACAUCAAAUUUAUGGGCCGGAUCUGAACAUAUCACCAAUUAACUAUAGAGAUGCUUAUGUCUAAGUUUUAUUAAAAAUAUUAUACUUUUUCCUCUAAAAACUAUAGGAUAAAUGUGUUAAGUUCAUUAGAAAAUCGUAGAUAUAUUUAAAUUUAAUAUCAAACUCUAGUUUGUAAUAUGAAUUUGAUAAUUUCAUAUGCUUAAUUAAUUUUAUUGAAUUGUAUUAUAUGUCAAUUUUAUUUAAAAACACACACGUUAAUAUAUAAAUAUUUGAUUUAUAACUAAUCCACUUAUUUUAUAUAAAAUUAAAUACAAUUUAUACGUUAUUAAAUGUUUAUUUCUACAAAAUAAAUAAGUUGGAUAAGCUAAGGGUAGAUCUCAAUUAAAAAACAAAUCUUCUAUAAAGCAUUAAAAUUCGAUAAUCCUAUAAUUAUUGUUACACUGCUCACUCAUAUUAUUUAAUUAUUCACUUAUUUUUAAAAUAUAUUUUAUUUUUCAUACUUAUUAACUAUAAAGUAUUAAAAAGAUAAAUAUAUUUUAACUAUAAAAAUAUUAAAAUAAUGAAAUUAUUUUUUUUUUUAAAAAAACUUAAUUUUUUUAACUUAUCGCUGAAUCAACGGUCCAUGUGGUUGUGAGUUGGUUACAGCGAUGCAACCAAAACCCGGAUAAGGAACCAUUACUUGAUGACGUCUUCAAUUUAUUUUAUUAUUUUUAUUCCUUCAUCCGGAUAAUGAUAAUUGUGUCAAACUUGAAAUUAUCGACACCAUAUCUAAUCGAAUAGAGUUCAAAUAAUUUUAUCAUUAACUUUAUCUUUUCACAUUUGAUGAUAAUUGGUCUGGACACCCGAUUCAGGCUAGAUCCGCGCUGAAAAUGUCAAAUGUAAUUCCAUUAAAAUUUAAUAAUCAAGUCCGUCUCAUUUAUAAAAUUUUAAGGAGUUGGACUAGACUCGAGUCUACAUGUGGGAGGUCUAAUUUUGUUUAUUCGGUUAGUCCCGAAAAAUAACAAAUCUCAUGACACCCGAGAUCAUAUCCGUACAGUACCGAAUAAAAUUAAAUUAUCGUCUAACGAUAGAAAAAAACACAAUAUAUCCCUACGUAUAGCCAACGUGACUGUAGCGAGAGAGUAUAAGCGCAUGACGGCGGUUACGCAUCACUAAAUGAUAAAAGGAAAAAGAAAUAAAGGAAACAAAGGAAAGACACACCAAACUAAUCUUAUCAAAAUGCACCUUCAACUUACCAUUUAUUGGACCUUAGAAUAUCAAUUGCGUCGUCUAUGGGAAAUGAAGUAGAUCUUUUUAUCACUGGAGUUUUCAUCCUCAUUUUCAUAUGAUAAGAUCCGCAUGGCCAAUCACGACGAAAAUAAUAUUGGAAACACCUCAAACGACUUAAGUUAUACUAAGGAAGAACCAGAGUUCUCAUUGCCUGCUCUACCGAGCUCUAGAAGAAUCGGUUUUGAGCAUCAAUCUCCAUGAAUACCCCAAAAACCCUGCCACAGAAAAAUAAAAACAGGGUUAAAAAAGCUAUAGAAA
Molecule: RNA transcript, 3520 nt
Organism: Manihot esculenta (cassava)
Lineage: Eukaryota; Viridiplantae; Streptophyta; Magnoliopsida; Malpighiales; Euphorbiaceae
Gene name: catalase isozyme 2
Exons: 9
Source: RefSeq, a predicted model, not a curated record